This 253-nucleotide ribosomal RNA is filed under the name uncultured bacterium. RNAcentral's name for it is "partial 16S ribosomal RNA". It matches the Rfam family "Bacterial small subunit ribosomal RNA", at positions 524 to 776 of the family's 1533-position model. The record is from RNAcentral.
UACGUAGGGUGCAAGCGUUAAUCGGAAUUACUGGGCGUAAAGCGUGCGUAGGUGGUCUUUUAAGUCCGUUGUGAAAGCCCUGGGCUCAACCUGGGAAUGGCAGUGGAUACUGGAAGGCUGGAGUACGGUAGAGGAGGGUGGAAUUCCCGGUGUAGCGGUGAAAUGCGUAGAGAUCGGGAGGAACAUCAGUGGCGAAGGCGGCCCUCUGGACCAGUACUGACGCUGAGGCACGAAAGCGUGGGGAGCAAACAGG